Long non-coding RNA from Helianthus annuus (common sunflower), 1363 nucleotides. RefSeq lists it as uncharacterized. Lineage: Eukaryota; Viridiplantae; Streptophyta; Magnoliopsida; Asterales; Asteraceae. The record is from RefSeq and is a predicted model, not a curated record. The transcript is spliced from 5 exons.
UAAAACCUAAAAUUACAUUCCCCAAAAUCGGAACCCUAGUUAUCAGAAGACACUUGAGAGACGAUACAUGUCAAUACUCCAAAUCGGAACUCUACCUGCUUCAAAUCGGAUCUAAAUCAGCAAACAUCGAGAUCGGAACUCCAUCCACGACGAAUCGUCGACAGCAAUGGCGGAAUUGCUGCCAAUCAGAGCUCCAUUCGCCAACAAAUCGUCGACAACAAUGGCGAAAUUGCUGCUGUUAGCCUCCGUUUUUCAACAAUCGUACUCCGAACUCCUUUCCUUCACUCUCGAAUCAUCGGCAACAAUGGCGGAAUGUAUGUUAAAAACUAUUGUUCAUUCAUUUAUCGUUGAUAAGGCGCGGGCUGUACAAGGUCCUUCGCUUAUUUACCUGAAUUACACAUCUAUCCAAGCAACCGCUUUGAUGGAGGCAUGGAACCUAUUGUUUUUGCAGGGGGUGAUCAAAGAGCAGGAAAAUCACUUUCUCUUCACAAGAGAGUAGAGCAGUUGUGUACCAGAGCAAUCAAAUGGGCAGAAUUGAAGAGGAAAAGAAGCUUCCCACCAGACAAAGGCAAUGUUGGAAUGGCUGCUUACCUGAACAUGUUUUCAUUCAUUUUCUUUGUUUUACAAGACCUUAAAAGAGACGGUUAAGACAUGGAAGGACUUUCGGCAACUUCUGUAGAGUUGAUUGCAGUUGUUCUUCACGACAAAGAAGCUCAUUCAGCAGUCCAAAUCUCAACAUUGUUGGUAAGAGAGUACCAACAGUUAACUUCACGACAAAGAAGCUCAAUUCCAGGCCUUUUUUGUUAUAUAUAUCUAUAUCAUAUAUUUAUAUGCCAUUUUGCUUAAAUAUCUAUAUUUUUAUAACACUGACCUCUUUUCUAGCCUUUUUACAAUUGUUGCUGAUGUCGUAGAAGGAAAUGUGGAAAUUGCAGACUUUGAUUUGGCAAAUAUGUUUGAUAAUGGUGGAAAUGUGGCACUAACAAUUUGUGUUGUGACACUCUGGUAUCGACCACCUGGACUUCUACUUGGAGCGACUCAUUAUGUAGUGGCGGUGGACUUGUGGAGCCCUAAAUGCAUUCUUAGUGGCAAACCUUUCAUGCUAGGUUGAGCAAUUACAUAAAAUAUUCAAGGUUUGAGGUUUACCUUCUGAAGAUUAUCGAAUAAAGUUAAAAUUACAAGACUUGACGGAGUUCAAACUUACAUAGACUUGUUGUCAACAACACAUUGAAGAAACUUUUACGGAUGUUCCUUCUGUUAUGCUUUUUAUGAAAAACAGAUAACGGGUCAUUUGUAGCGAAAUUGCCUCAACUUUGUGUAUUAAACAUGUUAAGCAAUCUGACCCAAAACCUGAAAUUGCUGUUUA